AUGAACAAAAGAUCACUUUUGUCAUUGGGUAAAUGCUACUAUAAAACUAACUGUACUUCUGACAAAACCAAAAUUAUGCUUUCAGAGUAUGGACAGUAUUUCCUGAAUGAGGUGCUAUUAGUCAGGCAUUCCCCCAGACUUCAGCUUAGAUGCUGGGUACCUGGAAUUCAAGCAGCAUGGGAUGGAGACCAGAUGGAUUUUUCCAUGCUGCCACACCAUGAAGAUCUUCUGCAUGGAGUGCAGCUCUCCCUGCUGCUCCUUUGAGCUAUGAUAUACAAACUUCUUGCAGAUGUUUUACAGGAAAGGACAUGGCAUCUUCUACCAGGAAACCAAAAUGGAAUAAGUCACCACAUGGAAGGGAGAUUUUUUUCCCUAAACUCCAUUAAUAUUUAGCUGAUAAGUUUAGAG
RNAcentral lists this long non-coding RNA (408 nucleotides) under Anser cygnoides (Swan goose). RNAcentral describes it as "lncRNA (ENSACDG00005011212.1)". The record is from RNAcentral. Lineage: Eukaryota; Metazoa; Chordata; Aves; Anseriformes; Anatidae.